This 433-nucleotide ribosomal RNA is filed under the name uncultured bacterium. Its description in RNAcentral is "partial 16S ribosomal RNA". It matches the Rfam family "Bacterial small subunit ribosomal RNA", at positions 29 to 507 of the family's 1533-position model. The record is from RNAcentral.
AACGAACGCUGGCGGCAUGCCUAACACAUGCAAGUCGAACGAGACCUUCGGGUCUAGUGGCGCACGGGUGCGUAACGCGUGGGAACCUGCCCUUAGGUUCGGAAUAACUCCCCGAAAGGGGUGCUAAUACCGGAUAAUGUCUUCGGACCAAAGAUUUAUCGCCUUUGGAUGGGCCCGCGUUGGAUUAGCUAGUUGGUAGGGUAAAAGCCUACCAAGGCGACGAUCCAUAGCUGGUCUGAGAGGAUGAUCAGCCACACUGGGACUGAGACACGGCCCAGACUCCUACGGGAGGCAGCAGUGGGGAAUAUUGGACAAUGGGCGAAAGCCUGAUCAAGCAAUGCCGCGUGAGUGAUGAAGGCCUUAGGGUUGGAAAGCUCUUUUACCCGGGAUGAUAAUGACAGUACCGGGAGAAUAAGCUCCGGCUAACUCCGUC